RNAcentral lists this long non-coding RNA (670 nucleotides) under Neogobius melanostomus (round goby). RNAcentral's name for it is "lncRNA (ENSNMLG00000009866.1)". Lineage: Eukaryota; Metazoa; Chordata; Actinopteri; Gobiiformes; Gobiidae. The record is from RNAcentral.
GUGUGUAAUGCAUCUUUAUUACUCUCCAAUGGCAGCGUGGUGGGAGUCAGCUCUGUGUGUAUCUGUGGGGUCAGCCGAGCGGUGAUAGCACUCCCACAUGUGUCCAGGUUCACAGCACAGGGCAGAUUAGGCCGGCCCACACAGGAAUACUGGGUAAACUAGUCUAACAUUUAUUGGGGUUGUAGUGGAAUGUGCCGGGUCACGCUGGGGAGAAGAUGCGCUUCCUCGGUGUGGUAACGAGAGAAGAAGUGGUGUUUAAAUAUAGAUAUAGACGUGGAAUUGAAUGAAAACUAAAUUGGUUUGUUUUGUUGUUUCUUUGACUACAGGUCAUAUUAGGUCGACAGAUUCAAGCUCUACAUUCCACCAGGAGGACCAUCUUGGGCUUGUAUCAUUGUUAGCAGAACCAACGUUUGAUCCGCUCAAGUAUGGAGGGAAAGGCUCCGGUAUUCAUCAUUCAUGGUUCGUUGGCUUCCCAGCUGUGCUGUGACCCACCUCCACCUCGUCUCCGCCUCUUCAAUCUACAGCCCUCCCUGCUGCAUCCUUCUCAGGCCAUACCACCACCAGUGUCCAGGCUCCAGGGAAGACAUCUCCAACUCUAACCUAACCAUCCAUACAAACUUUAAUUCAUAUAUCUGAUGCCUAUGGUCUGAUCGCCAAAAAUAUACAUAUG